AGGAAACAUGCCCAGCGUAGGGUGAAGGGUGGUGCAGUACACAGAUCCUCAUCCUGCAAACAAAGACAAGGACGGGCGGAGCUAGAAUGACUUUAUCUCGUUUUUCAAAUAUUCUGCGGCAUGUUUACAAAUACACCCAGGCUUCCCGAGUGCCAGGCGUGGCACUAAACACUGGAGCCUGGCAUUCUUGAUCUCACAACUGAAGCAGGUUUUAUUUUACAAAUGAGGACGCGGCAGGAGGGAGAGACUGCCCGGCUCCACGGCUGGCUGGAGUUGGCGCUUGAACCCAGUCAUCCUCGCAUCAGUUUCCCAGUGCCCCUCAGCAGAGCACGGAGGCGAGCAGGAUCUCAUGCCAUCCCCGCCCCGCCGCCAGAGCUCAGAGGAAGCAGGAUUUGUUGGGACAAUGCCCUUCUCGUCACCGGGCUGUCAUCAGAAUGAAACGCUGCCGACACCAUACUGGCGGAAAUGAAAACCCCUCCAUAAAGGGACAGCAGUUGCUCUUGCUCUGACUGUCGCUGGGAGAGAACAGGCCCCACUGAACUUCAGGGAAGAUCCUGGACGCAGAGCCUUCUUGUCGCAGCCUCUGAUAGAGAUGACCUCAUCCCUGCACCCUGAAGCAGAACAGCAGCUCCGGCUGGGGCUGAUUCAUUGGGGUUUGCUGCGGGAGCUGAGCAGCAGCUAACGAACUCCCACUGUAUGCGGAGGCAGCUCCGUCCUCCUCGGAUCAGGAGAAACCUGGAAUCCUAGAUCCCCACACCCUGGCAGAUGCGUUCUCAGGGAUGGCCCGGGUCAGCACCAGCCAAUGCAGACAGCCUGUGGGCUGCCAGGAUGGACCUGCAGACAGAGCUGGGGGUGUGGGGCAGGAAACCGACGGCCCAAAGUGUGAAGUCACAGUUCUUCACAGGGUGGUGGGACAACAGGGUUCCGAUUUCCAUUUUGUGGGGCCAGAGUGGGAUGUGAUUCUUCUCGCUUGUCUUGUUUCCUUCAAACCCCAGCACACACAGCGCCAGCCUCCCUGAGCAGCUGCUCCUGCCUGUCCACAGUGCUUUUUACAAGUCGCUAGGUUUCAAGUGGUUGAGCGUGUGGACCGGUGAACAUAUGUCCCAAAACCUUGGCUGUGAGCAGUGGCCAGGUCAACCUUCUUCUCCCUACUUCAUAAAAGGAAACUGAGGUACAGCUCUGCAUGGCAUGUUCUGAGGCUCUAGGUCUGACCCACGCUCCCUCCCCCAGGUAGAGACACAGCGGUAAGCAGUCCUACUCUGCAAAGAGGAGUGGAGCCCAGAGGGCUACAGUGACUUCCCUGAAGCCACUCAUCAAAUUACAGCGUGAACCUUCCCUGCCCUUUUCCUGCUGUCUCUACUCAGGAGAGGCCCUGUGUGGGGAAUGCCUCACUCAAGGGCCAGCUCCCCAACAAAUGAUCACCUCUUCACCAAAAGGAGACCUCUCCACCCACGCCCUCCAAACGCCACCCUCGGCAGCUCCCCCUGCCACUCCCAGGGGCCUGCACCAAGGCAUCCAUCUAUUUUGAGCUGGUGCAAAGGACGCAGAGCCAGAGCCCUGAAGGGGAGCUCAGGGAGCAAGAGAGGGACAGGAACUACACACGGGGGGCUGUGCAGUGUCAUAGCACUGGGGCAGGAAUCGACAGGUACCAUCAAGAACAAGGGGGGCGGUGGCGGACUCCACCAACCGGUCAGGAAGAAGCCAAAGAAGGGCCCUAGAGCUGAGAGCUGAGCCCCCCACCCACACCCUCAACAACAGGGUGAGGAGGGUGAUUCCAGGCAGAGUGUAGAGGGGCCCUCAGGGAACCCUCUCCAACAAGUCUCAUGGCUGGAGCUCAGGGGGUCAGCGUGGGCAGGUCACCAAGGGUCUUGGACUAUACACCUGGCAGACAUUAAGAGGUUCUUAAAGGUGUGAGCAUAGGCCAGGCGAGGUGUCACAUGCCUGUAAUCCUUGCACUUUGGGAGGCCAAGGCGGGUGGAUCACCAGAGGUCAGGAGUUCAAGACCAGCCUGGCCAACAUGGUGAAACCCCGUCU
Sapajus apella (tufted capuchin) is the source of this 2034-nucleotide long non-coding RNA. RefSeq lists it as uncharacterized. Lineage: Eukaryota; Metazoa; Chordata; Mammalia; Primates; Cebidae. The transcript is spliced from 2 exons. The record is from RefSeq and is a predicted model, not a curated record.